This is a long non-coding RNA of Pipistrellus kuhlii (Kuhl's pipistrelle), 2963 nucleotides long. RefSeq lists it as uncharacterized. The record is from RefSeq and is a predicted model, not a curated record. NCBI's taxonomy places the organism in Eukaryota, Metazoa, Chordata, Mammalia, Chiroptera, Vespertilionidae. The transcript has 2 exons.
AAGAAGAAGAAGAAGAAAUAAAGAACAAUGGGAGUUAAACUUCUAAUAGACUAUAUUAAGGGUAAAUAACCACCUUUUUGUUUUCAGGACCUUUCAAUUCCAUUCAAUUCAGUCAACAAACAAUAUGCUGAGCAUUUCUAGCCCUUGGUUAGAUCUGAGGAAUGAAAGCAGUUAAGAUACAGCCUUUACUCAGAGGGGGGAAAAUGCCAUUGUACAAAAGUACCCUUCAGUAUGGUAAGUGCUACCUGUAGCUCUUUUGAAUGACCCAUUCCAUUGGACAGCCCUUGCUAAUUUAAAGUCCUUUUUUUGGACUAAACUAAAAUCUGUCUUUAUUUAAUUUCUCUUGAUUGGUCCCAGUUUUGUCCUCUUCAUUUACUUAACCCAUAAACACCAAUUGUAUUUGUGUACCAUACAUCCACCCAGCUCUCUUCAUAGACAAAUAGGACAUGAUCCUUGCCCUCAGAAAGGUUAGUAUAUAAUUCUGCAACGUUGAGGAAGUUGUUUAACCUUUCUAAAUUCAUUUCCCUCCCCUAGGAGUCAAGGAUAGUAUUUAGUACCUACUUCCUAGAAUUGUUUUGAGGAUUAAGUGAAUAUUAAAGGAUUAAUGAAUAUUAAAGGCCUGAUAUACAGCUUUCAACAAAUUCUAGCUAUUAUUAUAUCCCUGUGUUUAAAGAGGGAUCCUGGCUCAUAAAUUAGCAUUUGUAGGGUUGAUAUGAAUGCCCUAAAAUAAGUAAACACAGAGUGCUAUGGGAGUAUACCAGAGAAACACCUAAUCUUAGCUAAAGAGGAUAAGGGAACACCCUACAGGAAGAAACAUCUGAACUCAGUGGUGCAGGACUAAACAGUGGGGUUGGAAAGGGCACACCUAACUCCAGGGACAGAGGUGAGAGCCAGGAAGAUUCAGGCUACUUCAGUUGUUCAGACUGGCUACUUUCAGGAAAGUUAAAAUACAAAUGGCCUUGGAUGCCAUGGUAAGUAAAGAUGAAUCAUGAAGGUAAUGGGGAACUAGUGAAAGCAUGCUGCACAAUUUACUUUCAACUUGGUAACAUCUCUGGCAGCAGUAAAGAUAAAGUGGGCAAGAGUAGGUAGGAAAACCAGUUAGGAUGCUAUUUCUGUGUUACUAUUGAGAAAUAUCUUAAAUAAGGCAGUGAUAGAGGGGAGAAGAAAACUGUUUCAAAAGUGAAUAAGAGCCCAAUAACCAAUUAAAUGUAAAUGUAGGAAGUAAGAAAGAGGAGGUGUUAAAGGUCAUUCUUAAAAGGUUACCUUGAAUGAGUGAAAGGUGAUGACAUUGGUUCAUAGGAAGCAUGGGUGACAGGGGGGGCGGGGAGGGUGGCAAGUAAGUUCAACUAUAGACAUGUUGAGUUUGAAAAAGGCUAGGCACUUGACCAUUCAUAUCAGGAGUUUGGAACUGGUCUGGGGCUGCAGAUUUGGGAUUUGUGGACAGGUGUUAAUUGAAGCCUCCAUGUAAAUGUGUAGUGGAGGGCCAACAUUAAGGGGUGAGUGAAGACCUCAUAAUGUUGAUUGAGAGCAAAUAUGUUAGAGAAAAAUUGAGAAAUAACACUAUCCCAGAAACAGAGAUCUUUAAGUCAACAGUCACAAAUGCUCCAGUGAUAAAAUUGUUCUUUGGAUUAAGCAACUUGGAAGUCAUUGGGCAAGAGCUGUUUCAGAGUAGUGAAGGGACCAGAAUCUAGAUUGCCAGAGAUUGUGGAGUUGAGAUAGGAAGUGGGUGAAGAAGACAUGCCUGGAGGCUCCCUCUUGAGGAGCUGUUGAAGAAGGAAAGAUAUUGUAGAAGCUAGAGUGGGAAGGCUGGAUUGAGGAGAGUUGACCUUUUCUUUGUCCACAUAAAACAGGGUGGAGAAAGGGAAAGUUGAAGAUUAGAAUAGAUAAAAGUAAAUAAUAAAAGAGGAUUCCUGAGAAGACAGAAAAGGCAACAUUUUGUGGAGGAUUAUGUCCUGAACAGGAAGAAGGGGCUCCUCCUCCAUUAAGUAGAGCUAUGUGGACAGAGGGACAUCUAAAGGGGAGAGAAGACUUGAAUUGUUUGCUGAUGUCUCUGAAUCCAAAUCAACUUUUGAGAGUUGAUAAGGAAAAUGGGGGAGGGACUGAGGUACAGGAACUUAAACCAGUCUAUAAAAAAGAGGAGAAACCAGAAAAACGUGGGAAAUGGCAGCAUUACCUUUGGGGCCCUAUGCUUUGUCAAUGACUCCCUUGAGUAAUGAAGACACCCACACUGAGCUGCAGUAAAUGGGGUCUGACUAGCACAAUGUAAAGGGAGACUGUUAGUUCCCUUAUUCAGAAUCUUAUACUUUUACUAAUAGAGCCUCAAAUUGGAUAAGCUAUUUUUUUAACAGCUCUUUCAUUAUGAAAGACUAAGAAAAAGCAUUUCUCCAGAAGCUAGGGUCAGAGAAAAUUUUGAGUAAUUAUUACUGCUCAAAAGAAUGAUCCAGCUAUGAAAGUCAGGAAUUAAUUCAGAAAUUGUUGUUUAAGUUGGAAAACUCCCUAAACAUUUUCAAUACAGAGACAAACACAGCAAGAAUUAGUUGAAAAAAUGAAGGCCCGGUUCAAUGUUUUAAAUGUUUGUUGAAUGUUAAAUGCAGCUUACAUAGAAAUCCAAUAAGGAUUUGAUAUGGAUAUGCUAUUAUCGGUGACUUAGUUGGAAACAAAAUUGAACUAUAGAUGGAGUUUGUUUUCCAGAACAUUGUUUUAAAAUGUUUUGUUCAUUCAUCAUUCUCUGUUUAUCCUGCAACUGGCCACUUGACACUUACAUUAAUUUCCUCGCCGCUAAAGCUAUGAGUUUGAUAUCCUGCUUCACUAUGCUCUAAGAUCUACCAUUCAACUACAUCAGAUGAAAGUUAUAACCAAUCGUUUUAUCAACCUCAGGUAGAACUGCUUUUACUGAAUUGCUAUUUUAUGUGGAAUCAUCAGCUUGUAUUGCAAGAUGCAAUAAUAAAAUGUCUUCAUAAACU